RNAcentral lists this ribosomal RNA (477 nucleotides) under anammox bacterium enrichment culture clone EAMX-c17. Its description in RNAcentral is "bacterial SSU rRNA". It matches the Rfam family "Bacterial small subunit ribosomal RNA", at positions 365 to 832 of the family's 1533-position model. The record is from RNAcentral.
UUCGCAAUGCCCGAAAGGGUGACGAAGCGACGCCGCGUGUGGGAUGAAGGCCCUCGGGUUGUAAACCACUGUCGGGAGUUAAGAAUUGUAGGGGUGCUAAUAGUAUUUCUACUUGACUAAGGCUCCGGAGGAAGCCACGGCUAACUCUGUGCCAGCAGCCGCGGUAAUACAGAGGCGGCAAGCGUUGUUCGGAAUUAUUGGGCGUAAAGAGCAUGUAGGCGGCUAUGUAAGUCGGUUGUGAAAGCCUUCCGCUUAACGGAAGAAUGGCGGUCGAAACUGCAUGGCUUGAGUGCGGGAGGGGAGAGUGGAACUUCUGGUGGAGCGGUGAAAUGCGUAGAUAUCAGAAGGAACGUCGGCGGCGAAAGCGACACUCUAGACCGUAACUGACGCUGAGUGUGCGAAAGCUAGGGGAGCAAACGGGAUUAGAUACCCCGGUAGUCCUAGCCGUAAACGAUGGGCACUAAGUAGAGGGGUUUU